ACAUUGUGCCUCACAACAGCGGCUGCCGAACAAUAUUGCUCGAGGCUGCCAUGCACACCAUGGACAGACUGUAACAUUGCUUUCACCGCACGCACCACCAAUGACCGUCGAACUAGAAAAAAUUGCAGGAUCAUUCUUCAUCUCAAAAGGGUGGAAAACCUUUGUUCACCGUACUGGCUUACUGUCUGGUCAAUACAUUCGCUUUCAAGUUCUUACUCCAUCAAAGAUAAAUGUCCUUCUCUUUGACAAGAAAAAAGAUAGCAAGCUGCCCAUGAUCCCUUCAUCCAAGAAACAAAUCAAGACAGCACCAAAGAGAUCGACAGGAAUCACUAUCAAUGACAUGCCUACCAGCAAGCAUGCUUCCAUGCUCAUUUCACACACAUCAAACAAAGAGACUUCGUCAGAUUCAAGGACAGAGUCGAUGACUGACAUUCCUUCCAGCUCCGACAAUUCAGGCGAAACCACACAUAGCUUCGACGAUCUCUGUUUUUGUGCAAGGAAUACAGCAGUCACACCUGACAUUAAAAACUACAUCAGCAUCAUCGGGCAGUUCCUCCAGCGUUCCAGCAAGUUCUAUAUUGUGACUAUGAACAAUACAUUCAUGAAGCAAGAUAGACUGGUUGAAGCAGCAGGCAGUGAUUCAGUCACCAUGCUCCUGCAUAAAUCAUCGGACGAUCGUUGCAACCUAAAGAGAGGAUGGGCAACUUUUGCAGCAACCAAUGCCAUUCAUCUCCAUUCAGUUUGCAUCUUUCACUUCUACAAGGCACCCAACGUCAAGAUAACAAUAGAUGUCCUUUAA
RNAcentral lists this long non-coding RNA (799 nucleotides) under Oryza sativa Indica Group (long-grained rice). RNAcentral's name for it is "lncRNA OsZS97_01G037960". Lineage: Eukaryota; Viridiplantae; Streptophyta; Magnoliopsida; Poales; Poaceae. The record is from RNAcentral.